CUCUCUCUCUCUCUCUCUCUCUCUCAAUCUCUCUGAUUUACGAAUUUGGGGGAUUUUAGGGCUUACAGAUUUGAACGUGGACCCCGAAUUGGGGAUUUUAGAAUUUUGGGGAUCUCGAGGAUAUUUGAAAUUGGGGAUUUCAGGUGGUUUUGAUAGCUGAUUUGGGUUUUGACUGCCGAUUUGGAGGUUUUGGUGUUAACUACAAUAUUCCCUGGUGGCCCUUUGAUGAUGGACUAGCCAGUGUAGCUAGUAGAGAUAGGUUUUGGAUUGUAGAAUGCUUUAGAGGAAACUACCCCUAUUCUGGGAAAGCAAAAAGUAUAAAGAUCAGGAACUGUGGCUUUUGUCUGUCGAAAUUAUAUAGCUAUGCUGUCCAAAAGGAAUAAGUGGGGCCAAAUCAGUUUGUGAUCUCACUCUGUUCUUGAUCAUUUGGAAAUUGUGGAUCAAAGAGGUUGUGGGAUGGUGCAAUGGGAACUUCACUUUGUUGUUAGUGCUUGAAGUCAUAGAAGAUGUGUCCUGUGUUCUACCAUACAAUUGGCUACUUCAUAGUUGGUUUUCUCCUCCGAAUGGGCCUGUGUAGAGGAUUUGAUUAUUCAUCUACACAACUUGGUUGGCAACAGGAAGAUUUAUGGCAGGCUGCAUUUCUGGUUGGCACAGAGCUCAAUUGGUUUUCUUCAAAAAUGGUGAAGGAAAAGUGAUUUGUAUCCCUAUCGUCGUGGCGAUUGUUCGGUUCAUGCUCAAGUGCUCAACUGCAACUGAAUAUUCUGUAUUCAUUCCUGUGUAACUUGGAGCCAAAUGCGUGCAUUGGUGCUGGGCCAGAAUAGUCAGGUAACGUACAGAUUGAAGACAUAGAGAACCAUCUCCCUAUGAAAGAUUAUAUUGAAAGAACAAGAAGAUAGUUUAUGAUUUGAAUUUAUACUUUCACUGCGAACUCUGAUAUUGUAACAAGCUCCCAUUGAGUGGACAUUUGAUUAUUCUUUUACUCUGAUGAAAUAAUCAAUACAGUCGAUUUUAUUCUGGUGAAU
Magnolia sinica is the source of this 1022-nucleotide RNA transcript. RefSeq lists it as uncharacterized. Lineage: Eukaryota; Viridiplantae; Streptophyta; Magnoliopsida; Magnoliales; Magnoliaceae. The record is from RefSeq and is a predicted model, not a curated record. The transcript has 8 exons.